RNAcentral lists this unclassified non-coding RNA (1142 nucleotides) under Leishmania donovani. RNAcentral describes it as "gene:LdHU3.35.1810(CDS-product:Iron-binding_zinc_ finger_CDGSH_type_putative)". Lineage: Eukaryota; Euglenozoa; Kinetoplastea; Trypanosomatida; Trypanosomatidae. The record is from RNAcentral.
AUUGCAGAGACCAGUGCUGCUUUGCUGGCUGUAUCGCAUCUCUACUCCCUCUUUCCUCACGCUGCAGUGCGCCCCUUUCUUGUGCGGAGGGCAACUCGAUUUGCAAGCGCAGACACGCUCGCACUGCGGUUCAUACACGAGACCAUCCUCGCUUUCCCUAGGAUGCAGCGCUGCCGUCUCUUAGCCGCCUCGUGGAAGACGAAGGUGGACCCCACGAACCCUCGGCGCAUCGUACACCUGCCGAACCGGACCCCCUGCAUGGUGACGCUGGAGGCUGGUGCGAAGUACUACUGGUGUUCGUGUGGGCUGAGCAAGACGCAGCCCUUCUGCGACGGCGCCCACCGUGCGUACAAUGAGGAGCACAAGACAGACUUGAAGCCGAAGGAGUUCACGGUGGACACCUCCAAGAAGUACUUACUGUGCCGCUGCAAGCACACGGACAACAGCCCGUUCUGCGACUUAUCGCACGUCGGCGUGCUCUUCCGGACGAUGGUUGGCAUCGAGAAGAUUCCGGGUGGCAAAUAGGGCAAAAGUGGGAUGCACAUGACAACAAGGGAGGGCGAAAGCGCGCACCAAACAGGCAGUAGCGCAGCAAUGCGGAGCGAAGCACGGUUUCAUUUCUCCACAUUUUCUCUUCAUCACAGCAUCGGGGCUGGCUGUGACUCGUUGUACUGCCGUUUUGCUCGCCACUUCCGUCGUUUCUCCGCCGUUUCUUUCCGUCGCACUGUAUGCAUCUCAUACCCGCCUCACGCACUUCGUUUUGGGCUCUCUCUCCUUGGCCCUCUUUCGAUUUUUGAAUAAAAGAUCCCUUCCCCAUUCGUCACCUUUAUCUGUCCCUCCCCCUCCCUCGACACACACACACACACACACACACACACACGUGUACGAGUACACAUACACGCUUCUUCAGCUUUUUUUUUCGCGGGCGCCGAUCUCCCGGCAGCAGUGCGCUUGCGUUGAAGCACGGCAUCAGCGAGCGAGGAGGCAGAGAGAUGCAGAGAAAAGGCGAAGGGGAGGGGUUGCGGGGCAGAGGAUCCCCGCUACUCAGCCCUAUUUUCGUGGUUCAGGCUCCGUGAGCACACAUAAAUUGCUGAAGCAUGUGCUUGUGUGUGUGUGUACAAUUUGAGACACACGAAGUGAUU